Molecule: transfer RNA, 71 nt
Filed under: Myxococcales bacterium
Lineage: Bacteria; Pseudomonadati; Myxococcota; Myxococcia; Myxococcales
Also listed under: 1 other name
Description: tRNA-Gly
Rfam family: tRNA
About the family: Transfer RNA (tRNA) molecules are approximately 80 nucleotides in length. Their secondary structure includes four short double-helical elements and three loops (D, anti-codon, and T loops). Further hydrogen bonds mediate the characteristic L-shaped molecular structure. tRNAs have two regions of fundamental functional importance: the anti-codon, which is responsible for specific mRNA codon recognition, and the 3' end, to which the tRNAs corresponding amino acid is attached (by aminoacyl-tRNA synthetases). tRNAs cope with the degeneracy of the genetic code in two manners: having more than one tRNA (with a specific anti-codon) for a particular amino acid; and 'wobble' base-pairing, i.e. permitting non-standard base-pairing at the 3rd anti-codon position.
Source: RNAcentral
GCGACGGUCGUCCAAUAGCAAGAUGCGAGAAUGCCGAUCUCGAGAUGUGGGUGCGAUUCCCGCCCGUCGCU